AUUUCAUUUAUAAAUAAAUAUUUUAAGUUAUCAUCUCAUGCAUUAGUUAUAAAACUACACUGUUUUUAUUUCAGGAUUAUCAAACAUGUAGAGUCACUGCUUUUGUCAGGACAAUUAAUUAUAUAAAUAGUAGGGUAGGUCCGUCAUGCGGGCGGAUAAAUAAAUGAACAAAUAAUAUAAAUUAGAGCAAAUCUCCAAAAUAGCACAUUUCUAAGUUUAUAUCACAAAAAUAGCACUCAAAAACUAAAAUGACCAAAAUAGCAUUUUAUCUUUGGAAAAUUUUAAUUUUUUUUAUUUUUCAAAAUUUGAAAUCUUGUCCCCAAAACCUCAUUUCUCAACUCUAAACCCUAAACUCUAAACCCUAAACUCUAAACCCUAAACUCUAAACCCUAAACCCUAAACCCUAAACCCUAAACUCUAAACCCUAAACCCUAAACUCUAAACUCUAAACCCUAAACCCUAAAUCCUAAACCCCACCAUUUAACUCU
RNAcentral lists this long non-coding RNA (488 nucleotides) under Brassica napus (rape). Its description in RNAcentral is "long non-coding RNA (BNAP_LNC024061)". Lineage: Eukaryota; Viridiplantae; Streptophyta; Magnoliopsida; Brassicales; Brassicaceae. The record is from RNAcentral.